UAGGAGGUUGGGGAAUUGAUAUAAAAAGAAAAAAAAGCAGCAGCCGCAGGAGGAGAGAAAAACAUACAGAGGGGAUAAAAGAUUGACGGCUGAAAAUUGGGCAGAGAGCUACGAAGGGAGAGUGAGGGUUUGCGGCUGAAAAUCGGGAGAAAACAAAGCAAAGAAAGAUCAGAGAUAGAGAGGUAACUACGGGCUGAGGGUUUGAGGAAAGAAAGAAGAACCAAGUGAGGAAUAAGCGAGAAGAGUAAAGAAAAUCUGGGGAAAGAGACGAAGGAAAACAAAAUUUUCUGCACAAACCUUUGGAACAAGGCUGGAUUUCCGUCACCUUGCAGUGCGCUUUUCUCCAUCGGAGAGAUCUCUUCUGGGGAACCUCUUGCUUUCUGCAUCUUCUCUGAUCAUUAAAGGACAACUUUGGUGUUGAGUAGCUUCCAUAAAAACGGCCACAAGACCUUCAAAGUUCAGCUCUAAGUCUGCCCGUCACUAGUUUUGAAUCUUCGUCGGCGAGAAUUUGCAGCUUCGAACCUCUACAACGGAAGCAAUCUUUUCAUCCGCUCUGUGUUCCUGUUUCCACCAGAAGUUAAAGGUAAUCUUUUGUAUCCUUAGUUGCUCAUACAUCAUCAGAAUGGACACACAAAAACGUAGAAAAAUUUGGCUACUGGUAUAAUGAACAUGUCUUGAAAUCCUGCGAUGAACAUGUAUCAGUUCCUGGGUCGCUGUUUUUUCGUGUUUGCACAAUAUUGCUGCUGGGUUGGGUGUUAACUGGAAUAGGCUACGGACUGUAGUUUAGUAGUAAAGAUUUUAACUUUGAGAAGGAAAUAACUUUUCCUUGGCUGAUUCAUUCGUUUCUGCAUCUGAAGCCACAUGUCGGAUAGUUGCAGAAAGUUUCCAGCUUUGCACGCUCUUUGUUCUGACUUUUUGGCAUGUGUAGAUCUAGAGUUGGGUUCUGUUUUAACUUGGGUUUUAGGCAAGAAAACAUAGGAAGUCUAUCUUGGUACAUCAUUAGCAAGUUUGGUUGGAGUUCAUGAUAUGGUUAGUUGCUUUGCUUGCUUAAUUCGUGCGAUGCUUGCUGAGAAUGAACUCAGGAGCACAUCAAAGCUUCGUGGGUUUGCUGCCUUUUGCUGUUGCCUGUUCUUGUGUGUAUUUAGUCCUUGGUUAAAAAAAUAAAAGGCAUAAGUUGCAUGAUUUUCGUUAGUUUGGAAGUCUGAAAUGCAUGAGCUAUGGCCGAAUACUUUGCUGGAAAAUGAAUUUCAGAUUGUUAAACCAUUCUACAUGAAUGUCUUGUCCAGAAUUUCUGUGAUGCAUCAGUUCCUUUAUUGUUCUUGCUUGUUUGGAGUUUAAAGUUAAGUAGCUUGUUGCUUAGUUAGAGUUAUGAUAUUGGGUUGAGAAAUAUCUAAUCAAAGCUUUGUAUUUGAAUUAAAAAUCUGGCUUGCACGAUAGAGAAAAGGGCCUCGGCUGGGAAAAAUUGCAGAAAAUCUUGUUUCCUCAAAGUUAGCAUUUUGUCCAGAUCAUUUUUGUUGCAUUUUUGAGUUCAAAAACCUGUUUGAUCCUACUCCUACCUUUGCUUCAAAUCUCUGCAUUUUGAUUUGAGUAGAGAUAUACUUGGGUUAUUUGCAUGAAUAUAGAUUCGGUCAAAUAGGUAAGAGAUUGAAUGAGACUGCAUAGCCGUGAGUUUGCAGAAUCCAUGAGUUUCUUUCUAUGUUUUGAUUGUUUAGAUGUUAAAGUUCCAUAUUCGGUUGCUGGGUUAGAGCUUUGAUGUUUGGAGGGUAAAGUUUAGAUCAAAAUUGAGCAUGCAAAUUGAAACUUGCGUUUGGAAUUUGAAACUGCAGCAAAGAUGUUAGCUGAAAAAUUGCAGAAAGCUUUCUACGUGGAUUGCAUGAGCUGCAUGAAAUAAUUUCCAGAAAAUUGCAUUCCAACCCCCCAAGUCUCCCCUUGUUCCACUAUGACCCAACCAAUUGAAUAAUCUCUUCAUUUUGGUCCUUGGUAGUUUUAUUUUUACAGCUUUAUUGCUUGUUUGCUUCAAUUAAUUACUAUGCUUUGUUUAAAUUGCACUUCAUGCAUGAAUUUAAGAGCUUUAUGACCAUGUAAGCCCGUGUUUGCAUGUUUUCUUUAAUUUUUACAAAUAAAUCGGUACCUUGACCCUUUUAUUAUUUUGGAGGGUAAAUUAGUAAUUUCACUACGUUAGAGCUCCAACUCAAGGGAGGUAUAACUUCUUUUAUCUUUUUUGUCUCUCCUAUGUGAACCAACGUGCUACGUGAGAACUACAUGUCUACUUUGCUUUCCUAGCCUUUCUUUAAUUUCUUUUAUUUAUGUCAUUUACUUUUGCUUUUUAUUUAAGUUAUUCUUUAUGGGGUAUGUGUACACCUCUUGGCUUGUAAUAGAUAGGGUUUGGAGGAGCAUUCGAUGAACAGCUGUUGAAGACUUGUGCCUAGUUAGCAAAUGUAAUAGUUAGGGCCUUAAUCACCUUAUGUGUCUUGCAUGUCUAUGUGUUAUAUGUUUAAUCGUUUUCUUAGGUUUUGGCAUUUAGAUAUGCAUGCUAAGUGUUAUGUGCUAUGUGAUUGACAUGUCUACUCGCUUUCCAUAGCCUGAAUAAAUGUGAUGGAUGAAUGUACGUUUCCGCUAGUCCAACGCUAGUCGGAAUUCAUAGAAUGGGAUAGUCCAACGCUAGACCCUUAGGGAUUUCCCCUCGUUAGUACAUGUUUGCAUGUUCAUUACAUGUCAUGCAUUCUUUUUAGUUUUAUCAUUUUACAUGCCCCUCAAACCCCUUUUCCCUCCAUUUUAGGAUUUUUGCAUUUCAUGCUAGUUAUAGGGUUCAUUUGCUUGAGAGUCCCCUUAAAUAUGGGAUAUAGACGAGUGUGGCUUUUUCUAAGCCUUAGCACGCUUGUAUUUCCUUUAUAAAAAGGGCAAAUUGAGUCACGAUUUAGAUCUCCCCGUACCCAAUAUGCAUGAAUUCCCUAGGCUCAUGCAUUUUUUAAAUCCACUCCACCAUUUUAUACCCUCAUCACACUUUCAUUUUUCCUCCUAUUUUGCACACGUGCACCUUUAUGUUUCUUCACUUGCACACGAACACUUUUAUCAUCACUUGCACACAUGCACUUCAUAUUAUCAUUUCACAUACCGUACCUUGCCCACUCACGAGCACAUUUUCAUUUACAUAUUUAUUGUCUUUUAUUACUUUUUCAAACUCAUGUCCUCACAUUACAUACAUGCAUUCCAUUCAUUUGCAUCCCACUCGCAUUAUUCGUGACUUCUUCAAAAGAUUGUUAUUGGGCUUCACAAUUAAUGUGAUUGGCACCCAACCUUUGAAGAGAAAUUUCCCCAAUACCCCUAGGUCUAGGGUUUGCAUUCAUGUAGUACAUCCAAAUGUAAUAAAUUCUUUGGUUAAAACAAGAAAAUCUUUGAUUAAAUCAACGCAACUAGCCUUGGCUAGGUCGAAGGGGUGCCUUGGAUUUUUAUCAUUGCCUUCCCCUUCGUCAAAUGUGACUCUCGAACCUUUUUCAUUGGUUUACGUGGACUAGGAGUCGUUUAAAAGGGGUUUCUUACAACUUUUUCCUAAAAAAUUCAUUUUUAGGUGACUUGGUACACCUUAACUCAUUACCAAGUGGCGACUCCCAUUUUUUCAAAAAACCCUUUUUAAACUAUAAUUUUGGGUCAAAUCAUCGCAUUUUCAAACCCCCAUUUAGACCCAUUUUUCUUUUAAAUCACAAUUCAUUUUCCAAUCACAAAUUGAAUCAAAAAAUACAUUUUUAAACCAUUUAUUUAUUUAUCAAAAAUGGGGUGCGACAGAAAGAAAACAAAAUAAAAAGGAACAAAGCUUUUUGCUGAACAUCCGAUGCAACUUCGAACACACACCAAGAGGAUUGGAUGUCCAAAAGAUAAAGUAAAAGUUGACCCUGAUGAUCGGAUGAUGGAUCAGACGCAUAGCUGGACCAUCAGACAUCUAAUAGAUUAAAAGGAAACUUUGGAAUUUUCUGUUUCUAUCGGACACAUCUUUUGAAUGUCGUAUCGGAUGUUCGAAACUUCUAACAAAGACUUACUCAACACACCUUCAAACGCAAUAUCGGAUGCUGAGUAAUUGGAUCGAACAUCUGAGAAGGUGUUUGAUGCAGGAUCAAACGUUUGAUAGCUCUAAGGGCUAGUUUUUCAAUCGCAAAUUUUUUUGACCAUUGGAAAGACUUUUGGAGCAAAUUUUCACUAUCUAUAAAUAUUGUCAUGUAUUAAAAUAUGAAAAACUUUUGCCUACAUGAGAUACAAUCUUUUAAUAGUGAUUUUAGGAUAGAAAAAUCUUUAAAUAUUGUAUAGGUGUGGGGAAAGUUCUUGGAUUUGUAAGGUUUCUCAUUAAGGCGGAGUAAAAUCUUGAAGAAGAUAACCUCACUUGUAAGUGAUUUUCAUUGUUAGGGUGAGCAUUCAAUUGUAGUUUCGAGAGAAUUAACUAGAGAGAAUUGCAAAAUCUCUUGACUCAACUAGAGUUGGGAUAUUUAGUGUGAACAAGGGGUGAACUCUUCUUUUUCACAACUUGGUUUCAACAAUUGGAAGAAAAAGUUGAUUGAUUCAACUUCAAGUUUGGGAGGAAGUUGAGAAUUUGUUUAGUUUGCAAUCCUUUCACCUUAUUGUUUUCUUUUUGUCACUUGUUUGUGUCGCUUCAUUUGCUUAUAUUUCUUAUUAUUGCGUUUGGUUGAGUGUUUGUUUACUUAAACUAUUUUGAUUGAAUUGGUUAAAAUUUGGCCUUGCUUUAUUUUUUAUCAACCUAAUUUACCCUCCUCUUAGAUUGCUUUGAGCCUUACACCUUUUAUUAAUGGGCAAAUAUUCUUCAUCUAUUAACUAUUCAUGUUAUUGAUUUCAAACGAACUAAAAUUCAUAACUUGCACCCUCAUCGAUACUCUCUUUUUGGUUGAAUUCUAUUAUGCUCAGGAAAGAAGCUUCUGAACAUUUUUUUUUCUAAAUGUACAUGGCUUCCAAUGACCUUUAUGUAGCUUUUGAAAGCAAACAGACUUGACAAUGAAUAUGGAAAAGGUUCUAAAUGAUGUUUAGGGAGUUUAUAUAGCGAUUUCUAUUAAGAAAAAACGUGCAAAAGCGAAUAUUGGGUGAAGUAUGUGUGCGAGUGUGCUAGUAUGUGAGUGAGAAGAAAAAGAAGUAAAGAAAGAAUGAGGCCCACGUUUUAUUUUAAAUUUACAUGACUCAAAUAUGCAGAUUAGAUUGGAGGCGUAACCCAGGGAUUUGGUUCGCAUAUUCAAAUCAAUGCUUCCCAAAACCUAAUUCAUGGGCCGUGCAAUUCGCGGUGAUUCAUGGGUUUGACUUAUGGAUCCGGCCCACAUUUCAAUCUAGCCUUAAAGCUUAUCCAAGCGCCAUCUGCUAGUGGAUUCUAGUUGGUUUGCAGAUCUGCCUAGAAACAUGAGUUUGCAUUAAUCCACGGGUUAAAUUUGUGGGCUUGAUUUACGUUUCAACUUACAUUUUGUGUUUCUCUGCAACACGUGCAGAAAAUUCUGCAUUUACUAUUUUCACGAGCAUUUCCCCUAAAAUGCAUUAGAUCACUUUUUCAC
This 5537-nucleotide long non-coding RNA is filed under the name Coffea arabica (coffee). RNAcentral's name for it is "long non-coding RNA (CARA_LNC005079)". The record is from RNAcentral. Lineage: Eukaryota; Viridiplantae; Streptophyta; Magnoliopsida; Gentianales; Rubiaceae.